AAACCAUGAUGAGGACACUCUACUAGGAGGUCUUGGAAAUGUUCCAUACAUCGAGAGAAUGAUUCAUUGGGUCUCUGGCAAAACUGAAAAAUGUCGUUCCUAAGCUU
This 107-nucleotide small nucleolar RNA is filed under the name Cephalotus follicularis. Its description in RNAcentral is "Plant small nucleolar RNA R71". It matches the Rfam family "Plant small nucleolar RNA R71". Rfam says of the family: R71 is a member of the C/D box family of snoRNAs containing the C (UGAUGA) and D (CUGA) box motifs. Lineage: Eukaryota; Viridiplantae; Streptophyta; Magnoliopsida; Oxalidales; Cephalotaceae. The record is from Rfam by way of RNAcentral.